RNAcentral lists this ribosomal RNA (265 nucleotides) under uncultured bacterium. Its description in RNAcentral is "partial 16S ribosomal RNA". It matches the Rfam family "Bacterial small subunit ribosomal RNA", at positions 793 to 1055 of the family's 1533-position model. The record is from RNAcentral.
GUCCACGCCGUAAACGAUGGGUACUAGGUGUCUGGGGGAGCGACCCCUGGGUGCCGGCGCUAACGCAUGAAGUACCCGCCUGGGGAGGUACGGCCGCAAGGCUGAAACUCAAAGGAAUUGACGGGGGCCCGGCACAAGCGGUGGAGCAUGUGGUUUAAUUCGACGCAACGCGAAGAACCUUACCUAGGCUUGACAUGCUGGAGAAAGCUCGCAGAAACGUGAGCCCCUCUUCGGAGUUCCAGCACAGAUGCUGCAUGGCUGUCGU